UAGGGAAUCUUCGGCAAUGGGGGGAACCCUGACCGAGCAACGCCGCGUGAGUGAAGAAGGUUUUCGGAUCGUAAAGCUCUGUUGUUAAGGAAGAACGAGUGUGAGAAUGGAAAGUUCAUACUGUGACGGUACUUAACCAGAAAGGGACGGCUAACUACGUGCCAGCAGCCGCGGUAAUACGUAGGUCCCGAGCGUUGUCCGGAUUUAUUGGGCGUAAAGCGAGCGCAGGCGGUUAGAUAAGUCUGAAGUGAAAGGCAGUGGCUCAACCAUUGUAGGCUUUGGAAACUGUUUAACGUGAGUGCAGAAGGGGAGAGUGGAAUUCCAUGUGUAGCGGUGAAAUGCGUAGAGAUAUGGAGGAACACCGGUGGCGAAAGCGGCUCUCUGGUCUGUAACUGACGCUGAGGCUCGAAAGCGGGGGGAGCGAACAGG
This 429-nucleotide ribosomal RNA is filed under the name Bacteroidota bacterium. RNAcentral describes it as "Bacteroidetes bacterium partial 16S ribosomal RNA". It matches the Rfam family "Bacterial small subunit ribosomal RNA", at positions 355 to 776 of the family's 1533-position model. The record is from RNAcentral. Lineage: Bacteria; Pseudomonadati; Bacteroidota.